This 497-nucleotide ribosomal RNA is filed under the name uncultured bacterium. Its description in RNAcentral is "partial 16S ribosomal RNA". It matches the Rfam family "Bacterial small subunit ribosomal RNA", at positions 28 to 507 of the family's 1533-position model. The record is from RNAcentral.
GACGAACGCUGGCGGCGUGCCUAAUACAUGCAAGUUGAGCGCUGAAGGUUGGUACUUGUACCAACUGAAUGAGCAGCGAACGGGUGAGUAACGCGUGGGGAAUCUGCCUUUGAGCGGGGGACAACAUUUGGAAACGAAUGCUAAUACCGCAUAAAAACUUUAAACACAAGUUUUAAGUUUGAAAGAUGCAAUUGCAUCACUCAAAGAUGAUCCCGCGUUGUAUUAGCUAGUUGGUGAGGUAAAGGCUCACCAAGGCGAUGAUACAUAGCCGACCUGAGAGGGUGGUCGGCCACAUUGGGACUGAGACACGGCCCAAACUCCUACGGGAGGCAGCAGUAGGGAAUCUUCGGCAAUGGACGAAAGUCUGACCGAGCAACGCCGCGUGAGUGAAGAAGGUUUUCGGAUCGUAAAACUCUGUUGGUAGAGAAGAACGUUGGUGAGAGUGGAAAGCUCAUCAAGUGACGGUAACUACCCAGAAAGGGACGGCUAACUACGUG